GAAAAUAAAUAUGUUCGGUAUCCGCAUUGACUCUACAAGUGAGCAGUUCAACUACUUAAUAGAUGAAGAUCAGUCUAUAGGUUUAGAUGGAACUGGGACACAUGGACCAAAUUCAUUAUUAAGCAUGUUCCAUCAUUGUUUACAGAAUUACGGAUUUGGCGAGAAAGGACUUUAUCUUACAUGCAGAUAAUUGCGGAGGUCAAAAUAAGAAUAGAUACACACUGGCCUAUCUUUGUUGGAGAGUAAACAGAGGGUUACAUGAACACAUUCAAUUGAAUAUGGCUAUUCCCGGGCAUACAAAAAUAAGUACCUUGAUAUAUUUAUACAUAGCAUUGUUGCGGCAUAUUCGUAAGCGUUGGUUAUGUUACUAAAGUAAUAAAAAUCCUUAUGUUUCGUCACAAAAUUAAAUAAAAUCCUCAUAUUUUAUUCAGAUAUAAGUGAACACAUAGUUAAGUAACAGCCUACUCAAAAAUAAUGUGACGAAGUGGAUUUUACUACUACAGUGUUUUUAUGUUUAUAUGAUAACUAAUUUGUUUUGUACUGUCAUUCUUUAAUUCUUGUACUUUAUUUUUUAUCUAAGGUGUCUUGUCGAUGGUGGCUUCGGGCGAAUUAAAAAGCUAUUCAAGAGGUCUGAUUGGGAGAGUCUGAGUCAAUUUGCAGACAUUGUGGAUAAAAUCGGCAAGGAACAAUUUCCCUGUUUUAUAUCGAAAUGAAAACAAUGAUCAAACAUGGAAAUGGUAUGACUGGAAGUCGUAUUUGACGCGAUAUUUCCUAACUCGGCUGUGUUUGUAAAGGAAAGAACAGAUAGCGAGGAGAUUAGAGUUCCGCUGAUAAGAAGUAAUACUGAAGUUCUAACAACAACCUUUCCCGAGGUCAUACAGCCCGCAGGAUUAAGUCGUACACGGCGCGAAAUAUUUAUACCGUAACGUUAGAAAAUAUGUGCGUCCUGCAUACCAAGAUGCCACG
Ruditapes philippinarum (Manila clam) is the source of this 966-nucleotide long non-coding RNA. RefSeq lists it as uncharacterized. The record is from RefSeq and is a predicted model, not a curated record. Lineage: Eukaryota; Metazoa; Mollusca; Bivalvia; Venerida; Veneridae. The transcript is spliced from 4 exons.